CUAAUACAUGCAAGUCGAGCGAACUGAUUAGAAGCUUGCUUCUAUGACGUUAGCGGCGGACGGGUGAGUAACACGUGGGCAACCUGCCUGUAAGACUGGGAUAACUUCGGGAAACCGAAGCUAAUACCGGAUAGGAUCUUCUCCUUCAUGGGAGAUGAUUGAAAGAUGGUUUCGGCUAUCACUUACAGAUGGGCCCGCGGUGCAUUAGCUAGUUGGUGAGGUAACGGCUCACCAAGGCAACGAUGCAUAGCCGACCUGAGAGGGUGAUCGGCCACACUGGGACUGAGACACGGCCCAGACUCCUACGGGAGGCAGCAGUAGGGAAUCUUCCGCAAUGGACGAAAGUCUGACGGAGCAACGCCGCGUGAGUGAUGAAGGCUUUCGGGUCGUAAAACUCUGUUGUUAGGGAAGAACAAGUACAAGAGUAACUGCUUGUACCUUGACGGUACCUAACCAGAAAGCCACGGCUAACUACGUGCCAGCAGCCGCGGGUAAUACAA
RNAcentral lists this ribosomal RNA (500 nucleotides) under Priestia megaterium. RNAcentral describes it as "bacterial SSU rRNA". It matches the Rfam family "Bacterial small subunit ribosomal RNA", at positions 48 to 528 of the family's 1533-position model. The record is from RNAcentral. Lineage: Bacteria; Bacillati; Bacillota; Bacilli; Caryophanales; Bacillaceae.